RNAcentral lists this ribosomal RNA (484 nucleotides) under uncultured bacterium. RNAcentral describes it as "partial 16S ribosomal RNA". It matches the Rfam family "Bacterial small subunit ribosomal RNA", at positions 30 to 507 of the family's 1533-position model. The record is from RNAcentral.
AUUGAACGCUGGCGGCAGGCCUAACACAUGCAAGUCGAGCGGAUGAAGGGAGCUUGCUCCUGGAUUCAGCGGCGGACGGGUGAGUAAUGCCUAGGAAUCUGCCUGGUAGUGGGGGAUAACGUCCGGAAACGGGCGCUAAUACCGCAUACGUCCUGAGGGAGAAAGUGGGGGAUCUUCGGACCUCACGCUAUCAGAUGAGCCUAGGUCGGAUUAGCUAGUUGGUGGGGUAAAGGCCUACCAAGGCGACGAUCCGUAACUGGUCUGAGAGGAUGAUCAGUCACACUGGAACUGAGACACGGUCCAGACUUCUACGGGAGGCAGCAGUGGGGAAUAUUGGACAAUGGGCGAAAGCCAGAUCCAGCCAUGCCGCGUGUGUGAAGAAGGUCUUCGGAUUGUAAAGCACUUUAAGUUGGGAGGAAGGGCAGUAAGUUAAUACCUUGCUGUUUUGACGUUACCAACAGAAUAAGCACCGGCUAACUUCGUG